RNAcentral lists this ribosomal RNA (582 nucleotides) under uncultured Acinetobacter sp. RNAcentral's name for it is "bacterial SSU rRNA". It matches the Rfam family "Bacterial small subunit ribosomal RNA", at positions 102 to 677 of the family's 1533-position model. Lineage: Bacteria; Pseudomonadati; Pseudomonadota; Gammaproteobacteria; Moraxellales; Moraxellaceae. The record is from RNAcentral.
ACGGGUGAGUAAUACUUAGGAAUCUGCCUAUUAAUGGGGGACAACAUCUCGAAAGGGAUGCUAAUACCGCAUACGCCCUACGGGGGAAAGCAGGGGAUCACUUGUGACCUUGCAUUAAUAGAUGAGCCUAAGUCGGAUUAGCUAGUUGGUGGGGUAAAGGCCUACCAAGGUGACGAUCUGUAGCGGGUCUGAGAGGAUGAUCCGCCACACUGGGACUGAGACACGGCCCAGACUCCUACGGGAGGCAGCAGUGGGGAAUAUUGGACAAUGGGGGGAACCCUGAUCCAGCCAUGCCGCGUGUGUGAAGAAGGCCUUAUGGUUGUAAAGCACUUUAAGCGAGGAGGAGGCUCUUCUAGUUAAUACCUAGGAUGAGUGGACGUUACUCGCAGAAUAAGCACCGGCUAACUCUGUGCCAGCAGCCGCGGUAAUACAGAGGGUGCGAGCGUUAGUCGGAUUUACUGGGCGUAAAGCGUGCGUAGGCGGCUUUUUAAGUCGGAUGUGAAAUCCCCGAGCUUAACUUGGGAAUUGCAUUCGAUACUGGGAAGCUAGAGUAUGGGAGAGGAUGGUAGAAUUCCAGGUGUA